Molecule: non-coding RNA, 29 nt
Filed under: Rattus norvegicus (Norway rat)
Lineage: Eukaryota; Metazoa; Chordata; Mammalia; Rodentia; Muridae
Source: RNAcentral
UCCUAUAAAAGGGACCUCAAGAGGCCAAU